CCUACGGGAGGCAGCAGUCGAGAAUCAUUCACAAUGGGGGAAACCCUGAUGGUGCGACGCCGCGUGGGGGAAUGAAGGUCUUCGGAUUGUAAACCCCUGUCAUAUGGGAGCAAAUUAAAAAGAUAGUACCACAAGAGGAAGAGACGGCUAACUCUGUGCCAGCAGCCGCGGUAAUACAGAGGUCUCAAGCGUUGUUCGGAAUCACUGGGCGUAAGGCGUGCGUAGGCUGUUUCGUAAGUCGUGUGUGAAAGGCGCGGGCUCAACCCGCGGACGGCACAUGAUACUGCGAGACUAGAGUAAUGGAGGGGGAACCGGAAUUCUCGGUGUAGCAGUGAAAUGCGUAGAUAUCGAGAGGAACACUCGUGGCGAAGGCGGGUUCCUGGACAUUAACUGACGCUGAGGCACGAAGGCCAGGGGAGCGAAAGGGAUUAGAUACCCGAGUAGUC
RNAcentral lists this ribosomal RNA (446 nucleotides) under uncultured bacterium. RNAcentral's name for it is "partial 16S ribosomal RNA". It matches the Rfam family "Bacterial small subunit ribosomal RNA", at positions 338 to 795 of the family's 1533-position model. The record is from RNAcentral.